RNAcentral lists this ribosomal RNA (468 nucleotides) under uncultured bacterium. Its description in RNAcentral is "partial 16S ribosomal RNA". It matches the Rfam family "Bacterial small subunit ribosomal RNA", at positions 28 to 507 of the family's 1533-position model. The record is from RNAcentral.
GACGAACGCUGGCGGCAUGCUUAACACAUGCAAGUCGAACGGAAAGGCCCUGCUUUUGUGGGGUGACCGAGUGGCGAACGGGUGAGUAACACGAGUGUAACCUGACCUUGUCUUUGGGAUAACUUCAGGAAACUGGGGUUACUACAGGAUAGGAGCCCCCGCUGCAUGGUGGGGGUUGGAACGUUUCGGCGGUCGGGGAUGGACUCGCGGCUAACCAGCUAGCUGGUGGGGGAGUGGAUUACCAAGGCAUUGACGGGUAGCCGGCCUGAGAGGGUGGCCGGCCACAAUGGUACUGAGGUACGGACCAGACUCCUACGGGAGGCAGCAGUGGGGAGUAUUGCACAAUGGGCGGAAGCCUGAUACAGCAACGCCGCGUGCGGAAUGACGUCCUUCGGGUUGUAAACCGCUUUCGCCUGUGACGAAGCUUGAGUGACGGUAAUGGGUAAAGAAGCACCGGCUAACUACGUG